Molecule: small nuclear RNA, 103 nt
Organism: Penaeus indicus
Lineage: Eukaryota; Metazoa; Arthropoda; Malacostraca; Decapoda; Penaeidae
Source: RefSeq, a predicted model, not a curated record
AUUAUUACAACUAUACAACACAUUCAAGGAACGAUACAGAGAAGAUUAGCAUGGCCCCUGCGCAAGGAUGACACGCAAAAAUCGUGAAGCGUUCCACAUUUUU